Ailuropoda melanoleuca (giant panda) is the source of this 104-nucleotide small nuclear RNA. The record is from Ensembl. Lineage: Eukaryota; Metazoa; Chordata; Mammalia; Carnivora; Ursidae.
GUGCUCGCUUUGGCAGCACAUAUACUGAAAUUGGGAACAACACAGAGAUUAGCAUGGCUUGCUACAAGGAUGACACACAAAUUCAUGAAGUGUUCCAUAUUUUU